Molecule: long non-coding RNA, 642 nt
Organism: Octodon degus (degu)
Lineage: Eukaryota; Metazoa; Chordata; Mammalia; Rodentia; Octodontidae
Exons: 3
Source: RefSeq, a predicted model, not a curated record
UGAUCCUCCUGCCUCAGCCUUCCGAGCGUUGGGAUUACAGUGAAUUUUGACUUUGAGAAGAGCCAGAAGGCACUUGGAGCCAGAUCUAAUGAAUAAGAUGCAGGAGGAUGCACUGGAUGGCUUUUCCACGAUGGCCUUUCCCUUGAGUACCACUUGUCUGCAUCAUCCACUGUAUUUUUCAUCAUGCUAUAUGUGGUGAACACAUUCGCGAAAGAGGACUUCCAGAACUUCCUCAGGAUGUGGCAGGAAAUAUGGAGAAAUCAAGGACAACUUAAUCACUGGCUAGUACAGGACUGAGGACUGAAGACUGGGGACCACUGACAUAUCUUCCAGGCCCUUUUCCUAGCCAGUUUCAGCGGGGUCAUAAUUCUACCAUCACGUCAGAACGGAGACUGUCUUUCCUUGAGGCUUGUCUUCUAUUCGUAGGGCAUUCAUUUAUUUAACAAACACAAGCCAGGCCUGUGCUGUGUGCCAGGGACACAGACAUAAAAGUCCCUGCCUGCAGAAACGCACAAUCUGUAAACAGAUCAUUUUUCUGUUGAAUCUGUUGUUGCUGGUUCAUGUUCCUCAGAACAGUCAUGGACAUCAAAAACACAUGAAAGAGAAAUACAACCUGUGCCGUCUUCUUAAACAUUAAGCCUA